This 254-nucleotide ribosomal RNA is filed under the name uncultured bacterium. Its description in RNAcentral is "partial small subunit ribosomal RNA". It matches the Rfam family "Bacterial small subunit ribosomal RNA", at positions 26 to 285 of the family's 1533-position model. The record is from RNAcentral.
AGGACGAACGCUGGCGGCGUGCUUAACACAUGCAAGUCGAGCGGAAAGGCCCUUCGGGGUACUCGAGCGGCGAACGGGUGAGUAACACGUGAGUAACCUGCCCUUGGCUCUGGGAUAGCUCCGGGAAACCGGAAUUAAUACCGGAUAUGACUGCGGCCGACAUCGGCUGUGGUGGAAAGAUUUAUCGGCCAGGGAUGGGCUCGCGGCCUAUCAGCUUGUUGGUGGGGUAACGCCUACCAAGGCGACGACGGGUA